RNAcentral lists this microRNA precursor (106 nucleotides) under Canis lupus familiaris (dog). Its description in RNAcentral is "mir-8834 microRNA precursor family". It matches the Rfam family "mir-8834 microRNA precursor family". RNAcentral also lists the same sequence under 1 other name. The record is from Rfam by way of RNAcentral. Lineage: Eukaryota; Metazoa; Chordata; Mammalia; Carnivora; Canidae.
AGGAGGAACAACCACAGUAGCGGCGGCCGGCUCUGGAGCCCUGGAUUCAGCUCCCGCAGUAACCAAGGAGCUCUCAGUCUGCAGGGGCUGGAGGCUCUGGGGACGG